This 389-nucleotide long non-coding RNA is filed under the name Nicotiana benthamiana. Its description in RNAcentral is "long non-coding RNA (NBEN_LNC033442)". Lineage: Eukaryota; Viridiplantae; Streptophyta; Magnoliopsida; Solanales; Solanaceae. The record is from RNAcentral.
UAAGAAAACCCUAAAAAUUCAAGGCAACAGAAGUCUCAACAAUGACACUGUCCAUUAAAUCUUUGAGGUCUUUUGAGUUUUUCUCUUUGUUAAAACAAUCCUUGAGAGUUCAUAAGAUGAAAAUGAGCUAAAUUUGGUCUGGUAUUCAAGUACCCACUGAUAGAUUGCUGGUUUAAGUUAGAGUUUGAGCUGGUCUUCUUCGAUUUUCUUGGUUGAUUUUACUUGCUGGGUUUUGUGACUCUGCUGUUUUGCUGCUGACCUUCUUCCAUUAUUCUUUUCCAUUUUCAAGUAUUUCUCAACCUCUAAAUGAGUGAAUGUUUUGGUUGAGCAUGUAAGCUGAAACACUAGUGGAAUACAGGCUUUGGAAGUUUAAAUUAUGUUCUGAUGCU